RNAcentral lists this ribosomal RNA (565 nucleotides) under uncultured Glomus. RNAcentral's name for it is "SSU rRNA". It matches the Rfam family "Eukaryotic small subunit ribosomal RNA", at positions 546 to 1106 of the family's 1831-position model. Lineage: Eukaryota; Fungi; Glomeromycota; Glomeromycetes; Glomerales; Glomeraceae. The record is from RNAcentral.
AAUUGGAGGGCAAGUCUGGUGCCAGCAGCCGCGGUAAUUCCAGCUCCAAUAGCGUAUAUUAAAGUUGUUGCAGUUAAAAAGCUCGUAGUUGAAUUUCGGGAUUGACGUGAUGGUCGUGCCUUAAGGGGUAUGAACUGUCGCAGUUGAUUUCUCACCUUCUGGAGAAGCAUGAUGUCCUUAAUUGGGUGUCAUGUGGAACCAGGACCUUUACCUUGGAAAAAUUAGAGUGUUUAAAGCAGGCAUUUUGCUCGAAUACAUUAGCAUGGAAUAAUAGAAUAGGACGGCAUGGUUCUAUUUUGUUGGUUUCUAGGAUCACCGUAAUGAUUAAUAGGGAUAGUUGGGGGCAUUAGUAUUCAAUUGUCAGAGGUGAAAUUCUUGGAUUUAUUGAAGACUAACUACUGCGAAAGCAUUUGCCAAGGAUGUUUUCAUUAAUCAAGAACGAAAGUUAGGGGAUCGAAGACGAUCAGAUACCGUCGUAGUCUUAACCAUAAACUAUGCCGACUAGGAAUCAGACGAUGUUAAUUUUUUAAUGACUCGUUUGGCACCUUACGGGAAACCAAAGUGU